UGCAGAGAACUUUCCAGAGAUGGAUUGGUGCCUUCGGGAACGUCUGACACAGGUGCUGCAUGGCUGUCGUCAGCUCGUGUCGUGAGAUGUUGGGUUAAGUCCCGUAACGAGCGCAACCCUUGUCCUUAGUUACCAGCACGUUAUGGUGGGCACUCUAAGGAGACUGCCGGUGUUAAACCGGAGGAAGGUGGGGAUGACGUCAAGUCCUCAUGGCCUUUAUGACCAGGGCUACACACGUACUACAAUGGCCGAUACAAAGGGCAGCGACACUGCGAGGUGAAGCCAAUCCCGUAAAAUCGGUCUCAGUCCGGAUUGGAGUCUGCAACUCGACUCCAUGAAGUUGGAAUCGCUAGUAAUCGUGGAUCAGCAUGCCACGGUGAAUACGUUCCCGGGCCUU
This 397-nucleotide ribosomal RNA is filed under the name uncultured Desulfobulbus sp. Its description in RNAcentral is "bacterial SSU rRNA". It matches the Rfam family "Bacterial small subunit ribosomal RNA", at positions 987 to 1382 of the family's 1533-position model. The record is from RNAcentral. Lineage: Bacteria; Pseudomonadati; Thermodesulfobacteriota; Desulfobulbia; Desulfobulbales; Desulfobulbaceae.